GUGCAGCAGGCGCGAAAACUUUACAAUGCGGGAAACCGUGAUAAGGGGACACCGAGUGCCAGCAUCAUAUGCUGGCUGUCCAGGUGUGUAAAAUACACCUGUUAGCAAGGGCCGGGCAAGACCGGUGCCAGCCGCCGCGGUAACACCGGCGGCCCGAGUGGUGAUCGUGAUUAUUGGGUCUAAAGGGUCCGUAGCCGGUUUGGUCAGUCCUCCGGGAAAUCUGACGGCUCAACCGUUAGGCUUUCGGGGGAUACUGCCAGGCUUGGAACCGGGAGAGGUAAGAGGUACUACAGGGGUAGGAGUGAAAUCUUGUAAUCCCUGUGAGACCACCUGUGGCGAAGGCGUCCUACCAGAACGGGUUCGACGGUGAGGGACGAAAGCUGGGGGCACGAACCGGAUUAGAUACCCGGGUAGUCCCAGCCGUAAACGAUGCUCGCUAGGUGUCAGGCAUGGCGCGACCGUGUCUGGUGCCGCAGGGAAGCCGUGAAGCGAGCCACCUGGGAAGUACGGCCGCAAGGCUGAAACUUAAAGGAAUUGGCGGGGGAGCAC
RNAcentral lists this ribosomal RNA (549 nucleotides) under uncultured archaeon. RNAcentral's name for it is "bacterial SSU rRNA". It matches the Rfam family "Archaeal small subunit ribosomal RNA", at positions 330 to 879 of the family's 1478-position model. The record is from RNAcentral.